RNAcentral lists this transfer RNA (61 nucleotides) under Citrullus amarus. RNAcentral describes it as "partial tRNA-Phe". It matches the Rfam family "tRNA", at positions 1 to 59 of the family's 71-position model. From Rfam's summary of the family: Transfer RNA (tRNA) molecules are approximately 80 nucleotides in length. Their secondary structure includes four short double-helical elements and three loops (D, anti-codon, and T loops). The record is from RNAcentral. Lineage: Eukaryota; Viridiplantae; Streptophyta; Magnoliopsida; Cucurbitales; Cucurbitaceae.
GCCGGGAUAGCUCAGUUGGUAGAGCAGAGGACUGAAAAUCCUCGUGUCACCNGUUCAAAUA